Molecule: ribosomal RNA, 212 nt
Filed under: uncultured bacterium
Lineage: Bacteria
Description: partial 16S ribosomal RNA
Rfam family: Bacterial small subunit ribosomal RNA
Source: RNAcentral
CAGUUCGGACUGUGGUCUGCAACCCGACCACACGAAGCUGGAAUCGCUAGUAAUCGUGAAUCAGCAUGCCGCGGUGAAUACGUUCCCGGGCCUUGUACACACCGCCCGUCACACCAUGAGAGUCGGGAACACCCGAAGUCCGUAGUCUAACCGCAAGGAGGGCGCGGCCGAAGGUGGGUCCGGUAAUUGGGGUGAAGUCGUAACAAGGUAGC